ACGUUGGCGGCGUGCUUACACAUGCAAGNNNNAACGAGAAAGUUUUCUUCGGAGAACGAGNAAAGUGGCGCACGGGUGAGUAACGCGUAAGUAAUCUACCCUUGCAUUCGGGAUAACUACGGGAAGCUGUAGCUAAUACCGGAUACGUUCAUAGAGUUACGACUCUAUGAAGAAAGAUGACCUCUUCUUGAAAGUUAUCGUGCAGGGAGGAGCUUGCGUACCAUUAGCUAGUUGGUAGGGUAAAGGCCUACCAAGGCAACGAUGGUUAGCGGGUCUGAGAGGAUGAUCCGCCACACUGGAACUGAAACACGGACCAGACUCCUACGGGAGGCAGCAGUGAGGAAUAUUGCGCAAUGGGGGAAACCCUGACGCAGCGACGCCGCGUGGAUGAUGAAGGCCUUCGGGUCGUAAAAUCCUGUCAGAUGGGAAGAAAUGCAUAGGGGAAUAAUACCUCUUAUGUUUGACGGGUACCAUCAAAGGAAGCACCGGCUAACUCCCGUGCCAGCAGCCGCGGGUAAUACCGGAAGGUGCAAACGUUGUUCGGAAUUACUGGGCCGUAAAGCGCGCGUAGGCGGCUUGUUAAG
Molecule: ribosomal RNA, 584 nt
Filed under: uncultured bacterium
Lineage: Bacteria
Description: bacterial SSU rRNA
Rfam family: Bacterial small subunit ribosomal RNA
Source: RNAcentral